CUUGUGGCUGUAUCAAGUAUCAAAAGGAAUAUAUACUUGUUGUAAGCAGGGCGAGCAGAGUGGGCGUUAUCCACGCCCCGUGAAAACUUGGGAGUGGUGGCUGAUGCAAACGAUCGCUUCUCUCCAAAUCGGGUGUCCUGAAAGCCAUUAUGAUCUCCAAUGGGAAAAGGAAUUGGAUUGAAGAUAUAUAUAUAUAUAUAUAUAGUGAUGUAUAUGAAGAGCAGAGCAGAAGGCAAACAUUGAGCGGGAGACGACACGUUGCCUGCUACCACCUUUUGUAGGGGAGUGGCAAUUAACCUGCAAAUUCUAGGAAAGUUAGUUACACAGCUCUGAAUCAUUCUUUUCCAGCAAAUUCUUUAUUUUCUUAUGCUGUCUAAAAAAGAAAUUUGGUUUCUGUUAAUCUAAACCCACAAAACCCGGCAUUGGAUUCUUUGUGGUUAGUUAAAUUAAACAAUCGAACCCACUCAUCUUUCGUCUGCGUCUUGCUUCUUCUAUGCCCUGAGAUAUCAGGAUUAACCCAUUGCUACUGGCUACUAGUAAUCUUAUUUUGUUUUCGUUUCGUUACUGCUUUUGCUCUAUGGACGAUUCCUAUAUGAUGAUCAUUUAUCCUGAGUUCUGAAUC
Molecule: long non-coding RNA, 622 nt
Organism: Hevea brasiliensis (rubber tree)
Lineage: Eukaryota; Viridiplantae; Streptophyta; Magnoliopsida; Malpighiales; Euphorbiaceae
Exons: 2
Source: RefSeq, a predicted model, not a curated record